Molecule: long non-coding RNA, 16086 nt
Filed under: Vitis vinifera (wine grape)
Lineage: Eukaryota; Viridiplantae; Streptophyta; Magnoliopsida; Vitales; Vitaceae
Description: long non-coding RNA (VVIN_LNC003045)
Source: RNAcentral
CCUAUAACACAGUCUUGUAAUAGCACUUUUCAAUUUGUAAGUGGCAUUCCAAGUUUUUGAGCCAUUGCUUGUUAGCACAAUUGGCUUAGUAUUCCACCACAUAGAGCUGCAUAUUGUUCAUACAAUCAGCAGAAUUGAUCUUUUGAAACAUAUUUUUAAUACAGUGGAAAACUCAUUGUGUGCGACAACAAGUCAAAGCCCUUUAGACAUAAGAAUAUAAGCACACUCCACUAAUUCCCCAACAUCAAAUUUUGAAUAACAGAUUUUAGGAGGGCACAGCCCUCUGGUCUUUUAUGAUUACAAUGACAGAAUAAAAUGAAACGAAAAGGAGUGGCUAAGGGGAGAGGGUAUAUCCUUUCCUUGCCAUCCAUGUAUUCUGUCGGUGCUACUUUGUUGAGGGCUUCUUUAGAAUAUGUGACCCUGCUGCACAUGGGUGGGUCUUUGAGGACAGUGACCUUAGCAACCUUUGCUAGAGGAAGGUAUGAUGAGGACAGACCUGGUGCAGGUACAAUCGAGGUUUAAGGUGUAGAUUGUUGAUUUGGAAGGAGGCAGGCCUCCAGAACUGUUGGAUCUGGAGGCCUCCAGGGCUUGGACGGUUAGGGUUUGAGAAGGCGGAAGAAGGAGACAGGAAGGAGGCAUACCAGAGGGCUCCUUGUCUUUGCAUUGCUAUAGCAGGGCUUGGACAGUUAAGGUUUGAGGAGGAGGAAGAAGGAGACAGGAAGGAGGCAUAUCAGAGGGCUCCUUGUCUUUGCAUUGCUAUAGUUCUUCUGCCAUCUUCCAUUAUCUCUCUCUCUCUCUCUCUGUGACCAGGGAUUCCAUGAACAGUGUUACAGUCACUCCUUGAAGGCUAACAGUGACAAUCUAUCAAUAGCAAUUAGAUCAGAUUUCCUAAAUACCAUUAGCUAAGAGGUAAAUACAAAGAAUAAAUUGAAUGCUACAUAAUAAUAUCAGCAAGAUAAACUAAUCCAAUAACAGUCAAUCUCCUAAUAAUGUCAUCAGACUUGCAUAUUUUGGACAUGGGAGUUCCUUCCAUGUUUUGCAAAUGAUGUGAACUUUUGCAAGUCUUCUGUGAUUAAUUAGACAUAAUCCUUGAAGUCUCUUUUAAUUAGUCACAUAAAUAUAUCUAUAUAUAUAUAUGUAUAUGACUUCAAGGGUUUCUUCCAAAAUUUUAGUAGGAUCUGGAUUCUGUCUGUCAACACAUUGUUCAACAAUAUAAGAUAUGCAGACACCCACCUACUUAGAUUCAUUCAUAGGUGUGCCCUUAAAGAAAUCUAUAUUGCAAAAAGUGACACAUCCAAGAUGCACCCGAUGAAGGCAAAAUCGUUUUUUGGAACUGUAGAACUCCAUGGAUCUACUGCAAGAGUUCAAUAUACCUUCUGGAUCACACGACAACCAUACAUUUGCAGACUUAAAGGUAUCAUCUGGCCAGCAAGUUGAUAUGCAAGUUCCCUUCUCUGCUCAGGAGUCCCAUGUUCAAAAAACUGUAACAUAUAAAGUCCAGAUUUGAACAACAAAAACUAUCUCAUUUAUAAAAUUUCAGAAGUCAUGCAAGAUAAUACAUGAAAACAAACAUACAAUUUAAUGCCUAAGAAGUUUGAAAACAUACCUUUUGAAUAACAUAAUUCCCAAAGACAUCAGUCAUUAAUCUUGAAGCAUGUGGAAGAACCUCUUUGAAAACAGAUGCCUUCUCUUCACCACUACAAUUCUCCAACUUCUGCUGAAUAAACCGACUCCCAUGUUGAUCAACACUGAGAUUAAAAUGCAAGAAAAAUGAUUCUUUGUAUUGGAUGUGCUACAGAAAUUCAAUUUUAAACUGUAAAAAAAGAAACCUAAUCAUAUAAGAAAAUGUAAAGAACAGGAACACAGCACAUAACACCUGCCUGAAUUCAACUGUGCGUCCUGCAAUAUCAGAGAGCUCAAAUUUCCGGGCAUUGUUAGAUUUGAGUUCUUCGAGAAAAGAGUGUUUUUUGGGAUCCUCAAAGUUGUCUGCUCCUCUUUGUCCUUGCCAUCCAGAAUAUACUCCUACAUUUCUAAUUGGACCUUGAGGAAACCUCAUUUCAUUUCUACGUCCUGGAUGAUUUGUCCCACCUACUGGAGAUCCAGGCAGUAUCGGACUAGAGAGAGGUGAGGCCGGAAAUUGUGUCAUGACACCCAUGUUGGGAGGACUUCCAUAAUAACUACUGCCCAUUAUUCCCCCUUUUCUUGGACUUGGAACACUCAGGCUUCCAUUUGUUGGAGGCUGGAGUUUCUGAUCACCCAUGUAGGCACUGACAUGGGACUCUUUCUGUGAAACAGAGGAAUCUUGACCCCCAAUAACACCUCUUGGUGGCAACCGACCAUACUGACCUGCAGCACCAUAUGCGUCCUCAAAAGGAUGCUGAAAGUAUUGCAUGUGAAGAGGAUCCAGAAAAGAAGGUUGCAGCAUUAACCCAUGAUGCCCAUAGAACUUGUUCAGAUUUUGUAACUCAUGUGGAAUGCUUUCCCCCAUUGAUGCACCAGUUGUUCGAACAUUAAAGCUUGGACCAGAAGUAGCAUCAAAAGGCAUAGGAAUGGCAGCAGGAGAAGGGUACCCACCUAUAAAUUGAGGAACAAGUGCCGAACUCAGACCAUAUCCACCCAUCCCAUACUGCGGAGCAAAUAGGCCUGAUGGCUGUAUAUUAGGGUAAAAUGGACUUCCUGAAGCAAUAUAUGCUGCUGCUGUUGCAUACAGAGGAGGGGUGAGUCCAGGAGACUGCAUCAUAGGCUGUACCUCAACUGAAGAGAACUUAGGGGGUGCAUGGGGAAGUUUUUCCAUGCCAUUAUAAGGGUGGCUCAUUCCUUGAGAGAUCACUUGAGCCUGAACUCCCUGAACUUUGUAUGGAGAGCUUUGUUGUGCAUAUGGAUGGUGUGGCGGCAUAUUCCUCUCAUACGAUGGUUUCUGUUCUUGUUUAUUUGCAUUAUUCUCAGCAACUAGAAGACUAGAUACAUUAGAUGCUUUUGUUUUAGACUCCACUCUAGAAACCUCCAAUCCAGCGCCCCCACUAACUAACGCACCAGCCCCACCUUUAUCACUUGAUUCAUCUUUAGGUAGAGGCAAUGAGCUGUGUUUUCUAUCAGAAUAUGAUGAGCUUGGAAAAGAGUUAGCCGCAUCAUCCUUAUUGGGCAUUAACCCAAUAGCAGGUGCAUCUAGAGUGCAUGUGCUUGCAGAAACAUCAACAGUGCCUGGACCUGGUUCCGGUAAUUUUGAAAUUUCAAGAGAGGAAUCAUUUAAUGAAAUGGCAUGAACAUCAAGAUCAAGUAGUUCCUCCGUUGCUGCAUGGCUCGAGGAACGAGACUGAUUAUAUACAGGAGAUGGGGUGCGGGGAAAGUCUUCCUACAAAAAAUGAAACAUAUCAUGAGUACCAGGCAAUACAAAUAAGCAAUGUCAACUAUCCAGAGGACUAGUUAAAGAACAUCACAGCAGCAAUUAAUCAUUAAUAUGUUACAAUAAAUAUUAUGACCAAUGUUCAGAAGAGGGACUUCUUUUGAGGGAGAAAAUCAGACAGACUUUAUCCAUAUAAAAUGUGACAUCAGAAUGGAAUGUCAUCUCAUUACUUAUUUUUCUAAUAAUGUGUACAAUUUUUGGGUUUUUUUUUUUAAAAAAAAAUCUUUUUAUUUUUCAUUUUUUUGAUAGAGAUAAUGGAUUUUUGUGUAGCAAUUCUUAAAAGUAUUAUCAAAUAAAAACGAUUGUACAACAAGUACUAUGUUCAAUGAACAUGUAAUAUAAUAAUCAAUAAUUACUUUUGUAGAAUAAUUAUUUCAAAUGUAACAUUUAUGUACAAUAUUUCAGGAAAAUAAUAUUUGGAAAACAGGAUAUCUUUGGAAGAAGAAGUAAAUAAUUAUUAUAAUUAUUACUGUGGCAAUAUACAUCAUAUAGCAAUCAUCCAUCAUCUUAGAAAAUCAAAAAAAUAAUUUAAAAUAUAGCAGCCAUGUUGAUGUUUUGGUACUUUUUGUAUGUUAAAAAUCAUUUUUGUCAUUUUACGAAUACAAAAUUAUUUUUUAAUAGAGCAUCUAUACACAAUAUUUCCUGUAGGAUCGAAGAGGAAACAUUUCAACUGACUUCAAGAAAUGUCAAAAGACACACAAAAUUGUAGUUAAAAGUCAUAUGAUUACUUAUAUUUUAUAUAAGCAAUGUCAAUACAUAAAACAAAGAAAAGGAGAAGCCCAAAUGGCUCAUAGCAAGAUACUUGGAACUCUCAACUAGCAACAUAAACAUAAGUAACUCAGUGAUAAAAACAACAAUGAGAAAUGGGACAAAAAAGCAUUGGGAUUAAAAAGAUAUCCAUAAAUAUAUACAGAGUCACAUGCUGAUAUGCUUUUAGAUAUACCAAAUUUUAAAAACCAAGAUCAGAAAUGUUAUAAAGCAUGACCAAGCAUCAAGAUUGGUGAUAAGAAUGCAACUCAGAAAAUACACCACUCAGAUUAAGUUUUAGACCUGUAUCAGAUCAACCAAACUUUUAUGACGACCUGCUGAAGAAGCUGUCUUCUGUCCAGGCAUAACUGCACUGCUGCUUUCUGGCCAAUCAUCUGAGGUUUGUCGGGGUGACCUAUCAUCCUCAGACUCCUCCUUGUGAGUAGAUAGGGAACCACGAGACAAAUGCAGAGAUCCAUUUCCACUGUCGUCAAAAGAAGUUAAUCUCCAAUUAUUGCCAAAACCACCAAUAUGGCGUACCAGGCGUUGAUUCUCCCGUGAAAUAAGCGGUGGAGGAAGCCUUGGAUUCAGGUUGACGUUAGAGCAGUAGUAUGCAAAAUAGGCUGGAUCAGACCGCAGUUGUUCCUCAGACUCAGAAUUCUCAAUAGCACUGCUUAAACUUGCCAAGCUUGAAUCCAGAUUGUUCCGUUGAGUCAUUAGAUUCCCAAUAGCAGCAAAAGAACCCUCCAUACUAGGUGGUGCACUACCACUUCGAUUCGGAACCAUAUCGCUCUGAUCUCCAUGCAACCUAUGACCAUUCAGAAGUAAUCCCAACUCCUCCGCUGCCAUAUUCUUUAAUGGUGAUACAAAUGUUGCAGCAUCCAUGGAAGAGGGCCAUUUAGUAGCUCCACUGCUUUCCACCAUUCUCAUAGGGCUCUCAGUUGCCAUCCUGAUUAAAUAUAAUCAUGGGCAACCUUUGUAUAAAACAAUGACUUUCAUAUUUUCUUCUGGGAGCCAUGUCAACCCCCUAUUCACGAAUUUUAAGUCAAUUAUUAACUUUAUAUUCAAAAUUUACAUAAAAGAAAAAGGAACCCUGUCAAAAUAAAUAAAUAAAGGAAACAGGUUGCAGACACCUAGCAUCACAUGCCGACAUGUGGUGUUGCCAUUUUACUCUUUAACCAUAUACAAGAAUCAUGAGCAAAUUGACAACAAAGUUAACAUAAGCAAGUUAGUUUAGACUUCAGAGUAAAAUCAAUAGUUACCAACAGCAAAAAGGGGAAAUGGAAGGGGGGAAAAGGCACAGUUGAAGCAAUGAAAAAGUACUCUAAAAGGUAGACCUACAACAAAAAUGACAAAAAAUCAAAGUACCUAAUUGAAAGCAAAAACAACCAACAAAUUGUUUAAAUCAUAAGAUAUAAAUACAUAUUUAAAGGGAAAAUUUACUUGCAUUUGCUCUUUUUACAAUGGCUGUAGAACUCAUGUAGGUGGUUUUGGCAAGUCCAUGCUCCGUUUCCAGCUCAAUGCAAUCAGGGGAAACAGUGACAUUGGCUUAACAACCACAGUAAAACUAGUAUCGAUACCCAACAAAGGUAAUAAGGUCACCAUAAUACAUCAAGACAACAAACUCCAAAAUAAGUGAUGUCAUCAGAAACAAUGUCAACAAAUUUGCCUGCUAGUAUGAGGCUGUUGACGAAAGGGAAAAAAACCAAACCAAAAAAGAAAGGCAGCUAAAAUAUAUGUCAUUUAUGGUACACCUAGAGCCAGCAAAAUGUUAGGUUAAUGCUGAUAGGUGCAUCUGGGCCUAAGUAAUAAUCCAUUUGGAAAAAAAUAAAAUUUUAUGUUAAAAUAAUUCUAUUAAGUACCUCAAAAUGCUUCUAGGAUAAAAAGAUAUCAUAACAUUCAACAUAACUGAAAUUAAUAACUGGAUUAAACCAGAAACAUUUAACAUGAGGCAGUUCAAGAGCCAUAAAAGUGUUAAGGUCAGAUUUCAACAGCUGUAAGAACAGGCAAGAGCUACCUUUUUAUCAGCGAGAUCAAAUCAUCCAUAAGAGGAGGGAGGAUAAAGAGGACGAUUUACAAAGAAUUUGGGCAAUCAACUGAGUACAAAAGUGACUAAGACUAGUUCACCAUGAACAUCAACAUAUCGGAUUAAAGGAAUAAGAUCAGCAUGCAUUGUGGUACAGAAUGAUAGGUAAACAAGAAACACAUCCUUAUAGAUGAACUGGGGAUGUCGAGAUAAACAACUGGCAAGACAAGGUAAGAAAUAAUUAAUACCAAAUGAGUUGCCUGGAAAUAAGGUGAAAAGAAGUCAACUGAGAUGGUCUUUGCAUGAAUGGUCUCACUGAGACCAGUGAGUGCAAUUAUAAGAAUUAAAGUUAUUUAAGUUUGAAGGUUCUAUAAGGAUGACAUGAAGGCCAAAACAUGGAUUGAGCUACGAGAAAGGGCAUAAUGGGUUGUGAUGCAAAUUGACCCAGGCAAGAGCGGGCACGUGGGUAUAGAACAUAAAUAUUUGAAAUGUUUUUUACUCAAACCAACAACAUGGGGAAAAAUAAAUCUUCCCUUUUUAUAAAUGAAGAAAAAAAAAGUCACAUUAGGUUGAAUAGUCAAAUAAAACUCCCUUAGUAUCUAAUUAAUGAUGGAACGUAUUAAUUUCAAACAUGCGAGACAAAUCAAUACUCUAAAAGAUCAUUUCACCCCAACUCAUGAUUGAUCCAUUCUGCAAAACCAUAAUAAAAAAAGGCAAAGCAGGUAAUUGUAUAAGCUGCCCCAGUCUGUCCUUAUUUGCAGGUUAACAAAACCACAACUAUAGUUUUCACUGUUGUUAACAAAUUGAGCAUUCUUCCCCAGAGACAAUAUAAGAAAGGUUUCAAAUAUCUAAUAUGCUCACUCAUAAAUAUCUUCUCAACCGCAAUAAUCAAUCUUAUGAAAAGCACCCAAUACACUUACUAAGCAUAUGUUUCAAACCAAAUUCAAAUUCUCUUAACUGCAUGUUUUAUGCACGAUUAAAACCAAAAUUGUGAGAAUAGCAUAGUUCCCACAAACAAAUAUCUAUGGUUUCGCACGCCAACCAGAGUAAAAAUUCAGCAACAUUUCCAACAAAGCAGCACCAACAACACUUAAUGGAAUCCCACUGAAACCAAUACCUAUCAAAAUUGAAUAGAACCCAUCAUUCCUAAAGCCCUAAAGCAUCCCUCAGACACAAUCAAUUCAAAUACAUGACUAGAAAUAAUAACAAAGCAAGAGGCUUAACACAAACCAUCAGAAAUUGGAGACAAAACAGUCCAACUUCAAACCCUAGUACACAUUUUCAGAAUAACAAAAGUUGCAAUUACCUAAGCAUAUCUUUUGCAACCAAAUUCAACUUUUAGCUCUGUGUUCUAUGUACAAUUUUUUAAUUAUCAAAUUCACAAACCCCCACAUAUGGUUAUGAUCACACGCCAACCCAAGCCAAAUUUCAGCACCAUUUCCAACAAAAGAUCAUCAAAUAACACUGAACAGAAUCCAUUAAAACCAAUAUUCAUCAAAAUUUAACAGAACCCACCAAUCCUAAAACCCCAAACUCGCUCAAACCACUAUAAAUUCACAUGGCCAGCAACAAAAUAAUAACAAAGCAAGAGGCUUUAACGGCUUUGCACAAUAAGAACACCACGGGAAACCCAAUUGAAGACAAAAGACUCCAACUUUAAAACCCUAGUGCACAUUUCCACAUCAACCCAUGUUGGGCAAAGGGAUUGUGAGCCUCACCCACAAGUGUCAUCAUAAACCCUAGAAGUUUGAGCCCCCCAAAGUCGGCAGAAGCUUUCAAGGAAUUCUAGAGAGAGGAAAUUCAAGAGAGAGAGAGAGAGAGUUCUUGGUGUGAAGAAACAAAUGUCACUUUGCCAAGCCACCACAGUGUAUAUGGACAAGGUUUCCAAAAUUUAUUAUUUAAAAAAAAAAAUAUAAUUUCCAAAUAAAUUAAUUAAUAUUAUAUUAUUAAAUGACAAUAAUGCCCUUUGGUUUGCCAUGGUUGUAUCUUCGGGAAGCCUUCGAUUUUGGAAGGACAAUGUUGGUAUUUUUGUCAAAGUGGAGAGUACACUUGGAGGGGUUUCUUGGAGGGGGGAGCAUGGCUCUUUGAUGGAACUGCAGAGUAGCCUGGACUUUGUCCCCAUUAGAUUUGGGGGGUGGUUCUGGUGCUUCACGGUCUACCAUGGUCAACCAUGUGGCCGCAAUUCUAGGCCGUUCGAUUGGGUUAGGUUGACGUGUGAUGCUUUGAUUCACGUUGGUUGACCUGAGAAGCUAAAAAUUUUAUAGUGUACACGGCUGUGAUGGGGCAGAGUUAAGCUAACAAGGUGGGUUUCGUAUUGGACAAUAACAACAAAAUCUGAGCCGUUGAUCUAUCACAAACCAUAGGAUCAACAAGAAGGUACCUCCGGCAAGGCCCGGUAUGUUUUAGGUCUUUUUUUUUUUUUUGGUGACACAAUCUUGUUACUUUAAAUUUCCUACUUUGGGUUGCUAAUGACAAGUCACCUAAUAACUAGCAAAAAAUAUUUUUUAAAAUGUGUGUAAAGUGACUGAAACACCCUCGGAAUGGAUAAUGUGAUUAGGGAAAGUGAUUAAAUUAAGAGAGCUUAUGAGAGGGGUAAGUUUGGAAUUCCGAAUAAAAAAUAGUACCAUGUUUGGAUGGCUCAUGGAGCAGCAGCCAAAAGCCAGAAAACGUGCCCACAAAGCAAAAGAGAAAGAACUGAUGUGGUGUGAUCCUGGCCGUCCGAUUAUUCGCUAAGGGACCUUUUGGUCAACGGCUGAUGUCCUCCCAAAGGGUUGGUGCCCUCGAAGCACGUGCUUAUCAUUUUCUUUUUUUAAUUUUAUUUUAUAAAUCUAUUUUUAGAGAUAUUUAUUAUUUCUUUUUCUAUAAUUACCCAAUUAUAGAAACAACUUAAUUCAAAAAUUUAUAAAAAAAAUAUAAUAAUAAAGGAAAAUAAAAAUAUAUCUUUAAAUUCCAUAUAUUUUAUCAUAUAUUUCUCCAAAUUAAUUUAUUUCUUCUAUAUAUAAAAGAAUAAUUUUGCAAAUAUAUGAUUUUUAAUAAUUAUGGUUUUAAAAUUUAAAAGCUUAUGAUCUUUAAGACCGUGUUUGGAACGCUGGAUUAUAGAAUGAGAAGUCAAUUCCAUCCCUUAUUCAUUUAUGUUUUCAAAUUGUUUUUUAAAAUCAAAAUCUUUCAUUAUUAUAGAAACUAAAUCCUAUUUUUACUAAGAUUUUGAUUCAUUUAUUUUGCAUGGUAUUAUGAUUCCAUUCCAUUCUUAUCUUAUUUUUAUUCGUAUUCUCACAUACCUAACACACUUUAAAGUAACGCAGAAGAAUAAAUUUUUAAUAAUUUAUAUAUAUAUUUUAAAGUAAUUAAAUAUAGAAGAAGUAUAAAUUUAUGAAUAUUUUGUUUUAAAUUAACAUAUAUUAUUAUUUUAUAUUUUCAUAAAAUCCAACCAUUUAAUAUUUAUAAAUUUGUGAUAUUUUUAUCCUCCACCAAAAUUGAAGCACCCAAGAGAAAAGAAAAGAAGAGGAAGAGAAAAUGGGGGAGAAAACAAAGGGAAAGGGAUGGAGACCUUAAUGAAAGUACAAGUGGAUGCCCCACUUUCUUUUCUUUUCUUUUCUUUUCUUUUCUCCCAAAAGGCCAAAAAGUGAAAUGUUGAUUGAGAGACCCAUUUGGAGGGUUUGGAGUUGUCUUUGCUUCUUAGGACCUUGGCAUGGGUGGCGGCUCCCAUUUUUGGACUUUGGCUUGUCACCACAUCAUUGCCUUUUCUCUUUGCCUUUUUUUUUUUCUAAAAUAAAAAAUGAAAAAAAAAUUCUCUUAAUUAUCUAUCAUGUUUGGAUUCAUAAGGGUAUUAUUUUUCUUGAAUAAAAAACAAAUUCAUAAAAAUAAAUUAAAAUGUAAUGAUAUUUUAUUGAUUAAAAGCUAAAAUCUAAUAUUUUAUCAUUUAAUAAAGUUUUUUUUAAGGAAGAUUAUAAACGUUUUCUAAAAUUUGUAUUAGACAUACUUUAAAUUAUGUCUCUUCCGAUCGAUUGUUAAAAACUAAAAUCAAAGUUAUAAUUUUCAAAAUAAUAAUAAUUUUGAAAUCAUUUAUCAAAGAAGUGGAAUAAAGCUUUUACAAGAAGUAAUAUUUUUUUUUAAAAAAUAAAAAAUUCUUUUAACAAAACUAUCUAAAUGGAUACAAAAGCUUUUAUUAAAGCUAAAAAAGAAUUUUUGACUUCUUGGCUAAAAGAGAAUUUUUACCAAAAAAAUUAGUGAAAGCCCUUUUUAGCCCAUACAAAAAAAAUUUCAUAACAAGAAGAAAAAAAGGCCAUUUAAAAUAACAAACUUGGCCUUAGCCUUCACUUAUCAUAAAAGUUAAAAAUAAGAAACUACCCAAAGGCCCAAUCAUUUAGCCUCGUGGGCUCAAAAAGCCCAAUCUCAAGCCCACCAACCCAAAUUCUUUUCACAGCCUAAGGUCUAGUAAUCAUUUUCUAAAACAGUUUUUUAUUUUACAUGAAAAAAAAGGAAAAACCGUUUCACAAAAAAAAAAAAAAAAAAAAACUGUUUUCUAUACUUAAAAACAAAAAAACAAGAUGUUUUAAAAAACAUUUUUUAAUUAUUUCUAUUUAUUUUUUUUGGAUUGUUUCAAAAAAAUAAUUAUAGUUCGUAAAAUGAUUAAAUAUAAAAUAUUAAACAUAAAUUUUUUUUUUAAAACAUAUUAAAAGUAUUUUCGUUUUCAAAUAAACAAUUAUUUUACAAAAUAUCAAAGAACAAUUUUUUACCAAAUAUGUCCUGUUUCUCUUUCUUUGAAUUCAUAUGUUUAUUUAAAAUUUAAAACGAGGAGAAAUGGUAAGUCCAUAAGGCCCUGUUUGUUAAAAAAAAACAAAAUAAUGUUUUUAUAUUUGAUUUCAUUAUAAAAAAUACAAAAAAAAAUUUUAUAAUUAAAAUGUAUUUAUUUAAAAUUAUUUAAUCCCAAUACAAUAAAAUAAAUUUUAAAAACAUAUAUAAAAAUAAUUUACAAACUUUAAAUCUAUUUUUUAAUAUUCUUUUUAUUUCUUCUACUUUUUCUUUCUACUUUUUCUCUUUAUUUUCUUUUUCCUCGAUUUCCAAAACCAAAUAUUCCACAAAUUUACAAUGAGAAUUUCUUUCUCCUACAAACACAAAAUAAAAAAAAUAUUUAUUAUAAAAAAAUUAAUAUUCAUUUAUUAAUAAAUUAUACUUAUUUUUAAUAUAAUUAAAACGUUAAGAAAAGAAAAAAUAUUUUGAAAAAAACAAUAAGAAAAAGUCAACUCUUCCUGUCCUGUUGCCAUUCUACUUCUACCGAACACAACAUAUCCUCCAUAAUCCAAGCAAAAUGGAACUCAAAACACCAUUUUCAUUGAAGAUUCCAUGACAAAUAUCAGAAACAUGAACUCCAUUGAGGAAGAAGACAACAUCAACAUAAUAGAAUUCACCAUUGAUUUGGUUGAAAAGAACUGACCAGACAAAGAAGCUGCAGGCAAAACGAGACGGGACAAGACGCCUAAUCUGCAGAUUUCCUUCAUUGAUGUAGACACUGGUAAGUUUUCUACCCAUUUGAACGGAUCAACAGCCUUGAAUACUUUGCUUACAGAAAUUCAGACCAAUGUAUCAUCAAAGAUCAAACUAAUUAGAUAGGGAACCCAAAAAUUCUUGAGGAAAUAGGAGAAUGAUGUUUCUAUCAUCCUAGCAGAGUUUCUUACAGGUGAAGACGGUCUUUCUGCAGCUUCCCACCUGAAAAAUCUUGGUUUGUUCAUGUUUCCUUACAGAUAUUAACAAGGGAAAAGGGUAGGAGAAGGGUCUCGCUGGAGCUUUCCAUCCAGUAACUCGAGCUUGUUCAUCUUCCCUUCACACCAAAGCAACUGCUCCUUGGUGAUCCUUUCCAUUCUCAGUACUCUUGACAGGACUUUGAUGUCAAUGAGGCCAAACAGCAUCUCCACUUCUGCAUGAGUUGCGGGCCAGGAUUUCUUUUUCCGGCCUUUCUGCUUUCUGCGCAGCUCCUUCAGUUUCAUCUCUUUCUGCAGUUUGAAGGCACGUGAGUUGUGGCAUAUAUGCCAUUCCCAUAAAUAAAUAAAAUAAAAGAUAAAUACAGUUUAGGGAUGUGUUAAGGCUUUUGGUUCCCAGCUCUGGCACAAUGGAAUGCCUUGCCCAUGCAUCUGGGAAUGUCAGCUAGGGUUAUAAUCUUCAUGUUCACGAUUAUGAGAAUGUAUCAACCCAAAACUACUUUACUACCCAGCCCACUCUAGAAAUGAAGCUAACAAAAUUGCAAGCAUCAUAUACAGUAUUCGGUCAUAUUGAGGAGAUAGUGUUGAAUGUAUGAUUAGAAUAUGACAAGGAAAUUGAGUAAAAGGUAUGUCCCAAACAAAUCAUCUCGAGCAUGGGAUGUAAAAAUACAUAAAUUAUUUGACUGAGGACAAGUUUAAUAAAAGGAGGAUCAAAACAGGGAUUCACAGAAGACGGUAAUACCCAAAAUAUGAUAAGGAAAUGUGGGAGCAAUUACUGGAGUGCUAGACUACUACAGUACCAUGAAUGUGAGAGGGGGUGCUGUGGGGACUCAAAGACUAGCCAUGGGGACCUGACAUUGCAUGGCUGAAUCACCCACAAAACAACAGGUCCAAAUGCCUGAACUGUCUAUGAGAGUCCUCCACUACCAGCCACUGCAACGAGGGAUGGAAACUCAAAAUAAUGGAACGGCUUUCUAAUAUGGAUCCCCCAAUUUCCUCAUCCCUGAGUAAGCUUGUCAACUACUAAUAUAGACCAGUCUCAGGCAAGCUGCCAUGUGACUUUCCAGGAUGAACAUGUAUCAGAUGUCUGUGUUCAAGAGAGGAAAUGCCCACAUGGUAAAAGCCAUGAAAGAUGCAAAAACAUGAGGAGAAUGGAAAGGGAUUGUCAGGAACGAGUCCAAUGACUAUCACACAAUAUGUAUCUAGCAAUUAGAUGGUUCUAUCAAGAAUUAGGCUUUUGAAAAGAAUAGAAUAAAACGUUGUGGUUGGUAAGUAUUAUUAAGCAAGCAACAAGUUCUUGCACUGGAUUUCUACAACAGCUAUGCUAUUAUUUAUCAGAAAAAGAACGUGAAAUUUUAGGUCACGAAUCAUUGCCUUGAUUGAAAUGAGAUACAGCAUGGAAACCUUACCUUCUCAAGAAAAGAUUGAAUCUGUUGAAGUGGUGUAGCAGUCUGGUUCUGUCCACCAAACAGAUUAAGAACACCACUCGACUUUUUCUUGUCCAUCUUCAAGAAAAGGUGGAAAGUAAGGAUUGAGCUCUCAAUGAUUCUAAUUAGAUCAGAGGCAAGGACAAGAAAAUCUGAUUCCUCUUCCAUCCGUGUUUGAUCUGAAUCUGAACAGAUUUACAAAGAAAAACACUUUACAGCACAAGCCAGAAAAAAUUCAACCCCAAGUACUCCAAAUAUUAUUGAAAAUACUCUUUAGUUUCAAGGUGCAAAAUGAAAAUGUAAACAACACACCAUUCAUAGGUGGGACCAUGGAAUUUCCAAUCAAAAUGGUCCAGUGUUUUUAUGUAAAUAUGCACCUACCUUGUACAUUUGGAACCUGGAGAAGUUUAGGGAGCAGAUUUCUUGCUCGAGCAUAAAUUUCUACUCUGGGGCCCUGCUCAAAUGGUUCAUUUUCAAUAAACCUUUGCAACAAAACCUGGAAUUGUUGAAACUGCUGGGCACUGUGGUUGUAACAAGUGGGAUUUUCGGGUUGGCAUGAGAUUUUCUGGCUCAACUGUGUGUACUGGCAGUGAAGUGCCUCCCAAGUCAAGCAAAUAUGAGCUACAUAUGCCGUUUCAAGAUCCUGAUAUGGGUUGUUAUCUGGCUUCUGCAGGUGUUCGGCUUCAUCUUCAGCUUCUUCCAUCUUUUUCAAAGAAAGGCAACGGAAGGGAGAUGAAAGCUUUUUAGAUGCAGAUCUUGGUGAUGGAGUUAAAGGAACGUCAGAACCUGCAACACAACAGAACCUUAAUUUGUCAUACAGAUUCAAAGAUUCUAGCAUCCCACACAACCCAAAGAAGGCUAUUUGAAAACAAAAAUGUGCCAAAAGUUGGGAAAUUCAGGAGGACAAGAAAAAUGGAUAUUGUAUAGGGAGCUUGGUCCAUGGUUACUGCUUUGUUCCAGAUUGCUUUGAUGCUUCAUAGACCUUUGAAGAAGGUGCUUCUCUGCUGUGAUAGUAACCACACCAAGAAAAGAAUGAGAAAGGUGGGGAGAGGUGUUCCAAUUUUUCGGGCCUGGUGUAUCAGGAAAUAUAGGAACAAGAGUACCUUUGAAGGGUUGGAAGCCACAAUCCCCAACAUUAAAGAGCUUAACCUACCCUGUUCACAGUCCAGGACUCGGUGUGAUCUGGUGGAAAGAGGCGGGCUAGAUAAAACUGAAAAAUCUUCCACUAACAAAUAAUCCUGACUUAAUUGAAAAAUCAUAUGGAGUUUCUCAUCAGUGGAGGUAACUACAAGUAUUCCUACAUAUGCCCCAAAGGAUAACUCUAGGUUUGUGGUAGCCCAUCCAGAGGAUGUUCUAAAAGCAACUUUAUGAGCUUCAAAGGUAGGAUGCUCUGAAAAAAAUAAGUGUAGAUUUGGGAAUAGCCUAAAUUCGAAUUAUACAAUAUUGAUGAUUUCAGUAAACAAUUGCACAAAUUCAAUGACUUGGGUGAAAUGGCAAAAACUGAUACAUAGAUUUUCAGAACUUCAACAAGAAAAAACAUAUAUAUCUUGAACCCAAGGCUCAUCAAUCUUCAUGAAGCCAAAACUGGGUCAAAUCAGAACUCCAACAUACUCAAAUUUCUAUAAUCAAUCUAGUUUCUUGCAUUGAGGUGAUGAACUAGUUGGUUUAGUUCUCAGUUGAGCUUUUCCACUAAAUUAAGCCUAAAUCAAAUGAGGUUGCUGUUUACUCAGGGAGGAUUCGGCCUUUUCCUCUGGCCACCUCUUAAAUAGCAUCUUGGUCAAGGGGAAGUAAAACAACGAACACAUAAUCUCUAUGAAGACGUUAGUAACAAAUUUCACUUUUGAAACAAAAAAAAGAAAAUUCUAAUAGGUCAAGAGGCAAUUCAGCUCAAAUUAUAUAGCAUACAUGAACGCGAACACUUAGAUCAAAUUAUAACAAAAUGUAUAUACCAGCUUCAUUCAGUUGCUGAGCACUCAUCCGAUCAAAGAACAACAUCCGCUCGCAAUAUUUGUCAAACACAUCAUUAAACCCGUGCCAUGGUUGUCGGCCUUCUGCAUCCCCAUCCCUCCACUCGCUAGAGCUCAUCUCACCUUCCUCUUCCUCCUCCUCUUCCGGGCAAGACUCUUCCGGUAUUAACACCAUAAAACUGCUCCUUCUCAAUUCUUUCAACCUCCUCUUCACCUCAUUUGUAAUAAAAUCAUCAUCAUCAUCCUCGACAUCACCAGAGGGAUCAGAGUUAGCUGGUUUACUCAUAUUAUCACCAUUCUCAUUCUUGGGUUCCUCAGGUUGUGGCACAGGCUUAUCCUCUGAAUCCUUUUCUGGGUUUGGUUUGUGGGCUUUUCUAAACUUCUUAACUUUGAAGAAAUCCAUUAUAAAAUAUGUCUUUUGAGGCAAAGCAGCUUUUUCUUAUAACCAAAACAUAAAAAAGCUACAAAAUCCAAACCCCACUAAGAACAAAACCACCUAUCUUAACCCUAUGAGGCCCAAAAACAGCCUCAGAUUCAAACUUAUUAGACAACAAAGAUCUUUUCAAGAAAAAAGAUAGACUACCCAGAGAUUCAAGCAAGCUAAAAACAGCAAAGAAAUCUAUUUUUCUUUGAAACACGAAACCCUAAACUAAAACCCCAUUUUUUUAGCAGAAAAGUAAAUGCAGUCAGAUGAACUCUGAAACAACACUUGCAGCGAUCAAAAACCCAGAAACCUCUCACGAGUUAGUAAAAAUUUCAACAUUUCAGUCUCAGAAAAGUACAUUUUCCAGCAACAUUACUCCAAAAAAGAACCAGAGAU